Molecule: transfer RNA, 69 nt
Filed under: Rattus norvegicus (Norway rat)
Lineage: Eukaryota; Metazoa; Chordata; Mammalia; Rodentia; Muridae
Rfam family: tRNA
About the family: Transfer RNA (tRNA) molecules are approximately 80 nucleotides in length. Their secondary structure includes four short double-helical elements and three loops (D, anti-codon, and T loops). Further hydrogen bonds mediate the characteristic L-shaped molecular structure. tRNAs have two regions of fundamental functional importance: the anti-codon, which is responsible for specific mRNA codon recognition, and the 3' end, to which the tRNAs corresponding amino acid is attached (by aminoacyl-tRNA synthetases). tRNAs cope with the degeneracy of the genetic code in two manners: having more than one tRNA (with a specific anti-codon) for a particular amino acid; and 'wobble' base-pairing, i.e. permitting non-standard base-pairing at the 3rd anti-codon position.
Source: Rfam by way of RNAcentral
GGGGAUUUAGCUCAGAGGUAGAGCACUUGCCUGGCAAGUGCAAGGUCCUGGGUUCGGUCCCCAGCUCCG